Molecule: small nucleolar RNA, 106 nt
Organism: Lathyrus oleraceus (garden pea)
Lineage: Eukaryota; Viridiplantae; Streptophyta; Magnoliopsida; Fabales; Fabaceae
Source: RefSeq, a predicted model, not a curated record
AUCCCAUGAAAUAGGCACAACCUCACUAAGUCCUUAAAAUUCUCCCAAGCGUCAAAUAAUGAUUCCCCUUAUUCUUGCCUAAAAUUCGAUAUCUCACUCCUAAAUU